Molecule: ribosomal RNA, 470 nt
Filed under: Halomonas sp. M15-C7
Lineage: Bacteria; Pseudomonadati; Pseudomonadota; Gammaproteobacteria; Oceanospirillales; Halomonadaceae
Description: bacterial SSU rRNA
Rfam family: Bacterial small subunit ribosomal RNA
Source: RNAcentral
UUGAGYUUGAUCMUGGCUCAGAUUGAACGCUGGCGGCAGGCCUAACACAUGCAAGUCGAGCGGAAACGAUGGAAGCUUGCUUCCAGGCGUCGAGCGGCGGACGGGUGAGUAAUGCAUGGGAAUCUGCCCGAUAGUGGGGGAUAACCUGGGGAAACUCAGGCUAAUACCGCAUACGUCCUACGGGAGAAAGCAGGGGAUCUUCGGACCUUGCGCUAUCGGAUGAGCCCAUGUCGGAUUAGCUUGUUGGUGAGGUAAUGGCUCACCAAGGCGACGAUCCGUAGCUGGUCUGAGAGGAUGAUCAGCCACAUCGGGACUGAGACACGGCCCGAACUCCUACGGGAGGCAGCAGUGGGGAAUAUUGGACAAUGGGCGAAAGCCUGAUCCAGCCAUGCCGCGUGUGUGAAGAAGGCCUUCGGGUUGUAAAGCACUUUCAGUGGGGAAGAAAGCCUUGGGAUUAAUACUCCCGAGGA